Molecule: ribosomal RNA, 429 nt
Filed under: uncultured bacterium
Lineage: Bacteria
Description: bacterial SSU rRNA
Rfam family: Bacterial small subunit ribosomal RNA
Source: RNAcentral
UGGGGAAUAUUGGACAAUGGGCGAAAGCCUGAUCCAGCGACGCCGCGUGGAGGAUGAAGGUCUUCGGAUCGUAAACUCCUGUUAAGUGGGAAGAAACGUCUGCGAGUAAUAUGCGCAGAUAAUGACGGUACCACUAGAGAAAGCUCCGGCUAACUUCGUGCCAGCAGCCGCGGUAAUACGAAGGGAGCAAGCGUUAUUCGGAUUUACUGGGCGUAAAGGGCGCGUAGGCGGUGAACUAAGUCAGUUGUUAAAUUUCUCGGCUCAACCGGGAAUCAGCGAUUGAAACUGGUUUGCUAGAGUACAGGAGAGAGAAGUGGAAUUAUCGGAGUAGCGGUAAAAUGCGUAGAUCUCGAUAGGAACACCGAUGGCGAAGGCAGCUUCUUGGCCUGGUACUGACGCUGAGGCGCGAAAGCGUGGGGAGCAAACAGG